GUGAAUGUCAGAGAUUAAAAUUGGUUACAUUUCCUCACAUGGGUUGAAACAACCUGAUUGUUCUAUUGCUGAGGAACACAGUACCAGGGACUUCAGCUCCACCUCAAUAUUUGUACACCGAGACUCUCUCUUUUCUGUGGCUUUGGAUAAGACAACAGUAACACAUUGUUUUUUCAGUCAGCAACCAUCGUGAGUGUAUUAUUGUUGUCGCAGUUCAUCAUAUCUUCCACAAGCCUUUGAGUGUCAAGGAAAAAAACUGAAAAAGUCGCCGCGCCUCUGUGAGGGGAAUUGGAUCAUGGUCGGAGGACUCUUUGGUUCUGCGGUCAUCAUCCUGGUUCUGGUCAUUGUCGGACUCGUUUUUAGAAUAGCACAUCAACGUAAACUUCAAAAAGAUACUACAACCUCAACUACAGGAAAGCCAGGGUCAGGAGCUAGCUGAAGUAUGCUACUCUAUGUUGAGUUUCCGUCAGAAGAACAGAAGAGGGGGGCCUAGACCUAAGGACCUAGACACGGCUGUUGUGUACGCAGCAACCAGAAGACUUUAGGAAUCUAUCAAUCUUAACCAUACGUUGAAUAAUUUUUUAAAAGACAUGGAAUUACAUUGCAUUACUAUGAAGUCAUUAAGAAAGAAAUAAGCUUGCAAAUAUAUCUGGAAAUAUUUACAUUUUGUUGACUACAAUAUGCAUGUUGCUUCUAUUUUUUUCUAGUACACGGGCACACGUUUUGUGUGAAAUGUAUAGAUUUUUUCUUUAAGAAAAAUAAAAACAUUUGCCAAUUAAAGCUCUCCAUGAAUAAUAUGGUUUACCUUUGCUU
This is a long non-coding RNA of Gadus morhua (Atlantic cod), 813 nucleotides long. RefSeq lists it as uncharacterized. The record is from RefSeq and is a predicted model, not a curated record. Lineage: Eukaryota; Metazoa; Chordata; Actinopteri; Gadiformes; Gadidae. The transcript has 3 exons.